Sorex araneus (European shrew) is the source of this 1538-nucleotide RNA transcript. It is a transcript of the gene named TOR signaling pathway regulator, with no coding region annotated. The transcript has 9 exons. The record is from RefSeq and is a predicted model, not a curated record. NCBI's taxonomy places the organism in Eukaryota, Metazoa, Chordata, Mammalia, Eulipotyphla, Soricidae.
AACCGACCCCGGAAGCGGCGGGGGCGGCGGGGCUGGGCCGGCCGGCAGGGGUGGGCGGCGCCGGGCAUGGUAACGGGCGGGCGGGCCGAGCUCCGCCGCGGCGCCGCCAUGAUGAUCCACGGCUUCCAGAGCAGCCACCAGGACUUCGCCUUCGGGCCCUGGAAGCUCACGGCCGCCAAGACGCACAUCAUGAAGUCGGCGGACGCCGAGAAGUUGGCCAAUGAGCUGCACAUGCCGUCCCUCCCGGAGAUGAUGUUCGGGGACAACGUCCUCCGGAUCCUGCACUGCUCCGGCUUCGGGAUCGAGUUCAACGCCACGGACGCGCUGAGGUGUGUCAACAACUUCCAGGGCAUGCUGAAGGUGGCGUGCGCUGAGGAGUGGCAGGAGAGCAGGACGGAGGGCGAGCACUCCAAGGAGGUGCUGAAGCCGUACGACUGGACCUACACGACUGACUACAAGGGCACGCUCCUCGGGGAGGCCCUGAAGCUGAAGGUCGUGCCGACCACAGACCACAUCGACACGGAGAAGCUGAAAGCCCGCGAGCAGAUCAAGUUCUUCGAGGAGGUUCUCCUGUUUGAGGACGAGCUCCACGAUCACGGGGUGUCCAGCCUCACUGUGAAGAUCAGAGUGAUGCCGUCCAGCUUCUUCCUGCUGCUGAGGUUCUUCCUGCGGAUCGACGGGGUGCUCAUCCGGAUGAACGACACGCGGCUGUACCACGAGGCGGACCAGACGUACAUGCUGCGGGAAUACACAUCUCGGGAGAGCAAGAUCGCCAACCUCAUGCACGUGCCGCCCGCGCUGUUCACAGAGCCCAACGAGAUCUCCAAGUACCUGCCCGUCAAGGAGGCCGUCUGCGAGAAGCUGCUGUUCCCCGACAGGAUCGACUCGAACCCCGCCGACGCGCAGGACAAGACCCUGCUCAAGUAGCGGAAUCACCCCUGGCUGUGCUCAGGGGACCAUAUGGGAUGCUGGGAUUUGAACCCGGGUUGGCCGCGUGCAAGGCAAACGCCCUACCCGCUGUGCUAUCGCUCCAGCCCCGAGAUGAUUUAGUUUUCAAGGAAUAGCUAAGCUCCUCAGAUAUUGGAGCUACAUUUCCAUGACGGGACUGGAAUGUGUAUAAGUCGUACCUCACCUCACCUUCCGAUUGGUUUUAUUUUCCAUGCAGAUUUGAACAAAACAGAUGCAAUUUAUAAAACUUUCUAAGAUGGGAAAAACUUGUAAGACUAUUUCAUGAGCUGAAGCUCAUAGGCCAGUUCUGUUAGUUUGAUUCAGAUUUCUUAGUUCCUGAAUCACUCCUCAGUGGCUGUGAAACAUGGUAGAGAUUUAAAAAUUAAAUUUUUUUUUUUUAAAUUAUGGAUGGGAGGUAGAUAAGUGAGUGUAUACCCGGGAACUUUGUUAUCUUCUUGUGGGGGGAAGAAGCCCAGAGAAGCCGUGUCUGACCAUUGCUACAGAAGAUAUAUGCCAUUUUAUAUUUAUUUGUUCCUAGUGUCUUUUUGUAAAAGGGGAAUAAACAAGGAAGUGCUUAUUUUGUUUCGCUA